Long non-coding RNA from Fundulus heteroclitus (mummichog), 2598 nucleotides. RefSeq lists it as uncharacterized. The record is from RefSeq and is a predicted model, not a curated record. Lineage: Eukaryota; Metazoa; Chordata; Actinopteri; Cyprinodontiformes; Fundulidae. The transcript has 4 exons.
AAAAAAAAAAAAAAAAAAAAAAAAAAAAGUGGAGCGAAAGCUUCCCACAGCCAUCACAUGCAGAGACAGGAAACCUACCAGGGCGCACGUCACUGUCAAUGAAAGGUACCGCUGUGUGGACAGAAGUGAAACUGCCACCAGGCGGGGGGAAAAAAAGUUAGGGGACAUGUAAACAGAGACGCCGAACCUUCAUCAGCCUUAAAGGAGAGAGGGAAGAUGGACAGCGGGAGGAAACUCUUGAUUGUUAACGGCGGAGUGUCAUCGAGCUGAAAGAGGGAGGAGAAGCGAAGAAAAAGGGCGACAGAGGGAGGGAGAGAGUGACAGAGCGCCAGAGAAGGAGCAAAGAGAGAGAGAGAGAAAGAGAGAGAGAGAGAUGUACAACCCGACCACAGCAUCGCAUCAGAUCAGAAUCCAGCGCGUCUGAAUUUCUCUCUUCUCUCAUCUCCAGGUGAGGCAAAAGGUAAAAAGCCAACCCAGCAACUGCGGCAGAGGCAGGAGCAGCGUCAUGGAGCUGCUGCUCCAAAGACCCUCUUCCACCUCAAGUCCUGUUAUUUUAUCUGACAGCGCUUUUAUUUCUGCAGAGAGAAUAAAAAAGAAAUAAAGGUAGCCUACCCUGUUUAAACUUUCUCCACCUCUUUAGACACAGAAACUCGAGCAGACAACUCAGAACAAGAGAAGUUCUAAAAGUAUAUGACUAUGAUUGUAAGUGCUUGUUGAACGUGCCUCAUGCGCCACCUUUUGGACACAUUGAGAAAAACACCUUGGGGUGCUCUUCGUCCUGCAAAAUCAGACAAGAAUAAAUCAGCCUAUAUGUGUGGGCCUUGGAGUUUUUGAAGGAGGAGGGAAAAACAUCCCAUCUUAUUGCAAAAUAAGCAGAACAGAAGAUGCGAUUGGUCUUCGAGGAACCAGGGCCAGCAGGCUCUGUGGGCCCCCCCCCCCCCGAUCCUGGAGGAGAGACGCGAGCUGAGAGGAUGCAGCUGCAGAGGGAGGUGCAUCCUCUCUCUAUCUCUCUCAGGUGUUUUCAAAUCCUCACCCUUAUGUGGAGGAGCUAAAAUAAUUACUCUCCAAAUUAAGGAUAAAGACAUCACUUGGGAGGGAGCCUGCAACACAAAAGGCUUUCUGAGCAGGGCAGGGUGUGAGGGCAUCGCAUCGGUUAAAAAGUGCAUCACAUCCGAUCCGUAAAAGCGGCAGGGGGAUUCGUAAUGAACGCAACGCGAUAAAUAUUUGUGCUCAAAGCGGCGAUAUUCUGCAAAAGCAGCACGUGUGCUCCUUCUAUUCAAAAACACACUCCAUAUUAUUUUCCUUUUGAACCUGAAAGCUCAAUAUUUCUCAGAGCUUUCUUUUACAAUUGCAACGUGGAGAGAUAGUUCAUGAUUUAAAGAUAUGAAUUUUGUGCUUCAAGAAUCCAAAGUUAUUAGCUUCUACCUUCUCAGAUGAAAAUACACGGAAUUAAAAAUGCCUUUUGAGAUGGAGAACGCUUUGAACUUAAGAAACAUUUCAAGAAGGCCCCUCUCUCCUUUUUUGUAUUGAAAGUUCACCUCCUUUGAGCAUGCCAUAGUUUGGUUCUCAUUUUUUUUUUCUUCUUUCAAAUAAAAGAAUGAAGUUUAAUGGGUCAAGGCAAUCAAUGUUAAAGUUCAAAGAGAAUCUCGGAGAAUCUCGGUACUUAUUCUUUGUACACGAUUUGAAUAAAAAGAUAGCUGAUAAACAGCAUUAAUGAAACAUAAUGACGGGGGGAAAAAUGCUCUUUUUGGUGGAAAGUUAGGAUUCGACUUACAAGUUUGGGAUAUCAUCAGCAAAGGAAUGCUGGAUAAUAGUUAAGGAUAAAUAGUAAUUUCUGGCAUCACAUGAGGUAAAACGUACUCCCAUAUUCCCCCUUGGAUUUACAGAUCAUUUUAUUAUGUUGGACACGGAGACGAUUGGUGUUUAUUUUCACACUUACCACUUGUUUCUCAUAAGCAGCCGGCUCCAGAAUGAUUGGCUUCGGUUGUAAAACAUUGAUGUGCAAAUUUCCUUAAAAUAAGUUGUUUUUGGAGACAAGGGGAGCCGUGGACGCCACUUUUAGCCACAGUUCUGCUACAGAGAUCUCCCUCAGCAUUCUGCUCAUGUUGGUAAGAUAAAACUGGAUCAUUGUCCAGCCUUGUUUGUCACAGUUCCAUUUGUUUUAAAGCAUUUCAUCUAUUACUCUGUCUGCACAUAAAUCUAGCUGUUUGUAGCCUUUUUCUGGCUUAUGAAGGUCAACACACACCUGCUCUAGCUGAUUUCCAUUUUCAGCUUGAUUCUCAAAUUGUAGUUGGGCUGCCUUUAGUUGUACUGGUAUCUAUUAUUUGCAAAGUAAACACAAAACAGAUUAAUUAUGUUGUAGAUCUGAAAAAAAAAAAAAAACACAUCCAAAGUACGGCAGUAAACAUUUCUAUAAACUCUCGACCGAAACGGAUGACGGUGAACCAGGAAGCCAUGUUCCAAAAGGAUCUGGAGGAAGGACGUCAAACCCAGUGUGUUCCAGUUCCGGGUUUGAAAUCCAGUGGGAUUUGCUAAGCACGAUUAGCAAUGCAUGCUAAUAACGAUGUAUUUAUCUCCUGGAUGGUGCAGGUAGUAACA